This 258-nucleotide ribosomal RNA is filed under the name uncultured bacterium. RNAcentral describes it as "partial 16S ribosomal RNA". It matches the Rfam family "Bacterial small subunit ribosomal RNA", at positions 793 to 1055 of the family's 1533-position model. The record is from RNAcentral.
GUCCACGCCGUAAACGAUGGAUACUAGCUGUUCGGAGCAAUCUGAGUGGCUAAGCGAAAGUGAUAAGUAUCCCACCUGGGGAGUACGAACGCAAGUUUGAAACUCAAAAGGAAUUGACGGGGGGCCCCGCACAAGCGGUGGAGCAUGUGGUUUAAUUCGAUGAUACGCGAGGAACCUUACCAAGGCUUAAAUGUAGAUUGACCGGUUUGGAAACAGACUUUUCGCAAGACAAUUUACAAGGUGCUGCAUGGUUGUCGU